GCGGGUGUAGCUCAGGGGUAGAGCACAACCUUGCCAAGGUUGGGGUCGAGGGUUCGAAUC
Molecule: non-coding RNA, 60 nt
Organism: Rhizobiales bacterium 63-7
Lineage: Bacteria; Pseudomonadati; Pseudomonadota; Alphaproteobacteria; Hyphomicrobiales
Source: Rfam